Molecule: long non-coding RNA, 199 nt
Filed under: Capsicum annuum
Lineage: Eukaryota; Viridiplantae; Streptophyta; Magnoliopsida; Solanales; Solanaceae
Description: long non-coding RNA (CANN_LNC001854)
Source: RNAcentral
CUUACUUAACACUACCUUUGGCAGAUUCCAACUUCGUACAAUAUUCUUAUUUGCUGGUCAUGUAUUGAGUGCAACCACUAUCCAGAAACCAUGUGUUUUCAUCAUUCAAUCUUGUUGCUUCCAUUUCCGUAAACACAAACUCCUCCUAUUCUUCAACUUCUGAAACGUUGGCUUUUUGAGUUUGUUUGGUUGUUCUCCU